Molecule: ribosomal RNA, 429 nt
Filed under: uncultured bacterium
Lineage: Bacteria
Description: bacterial SSU rRNA
Rfam family: Bacterial small subunit ribosomal RNA
Source: RNAcentral
UGGGGAAUAUUGGACAAUGGGGGCAACCCUGAUCCAGCAAUGCCGCGUGUGUGAAGAAGGCCUGAGGGUUGUAAAGCACUUUCAGUGGGGAGGAGGUUCGACUGGUUAAGAGCUGAUUGAAUGGACGUUACCCACAGAAGAAGCACCGGCUAACUCCGUGCCAGCAGCCGCGGUAAUACGGAGGGUGCAAGCGUUAAUCGGAAUUACUGGGCGUAAAGGGUGCGUAGGUUGUUGUAUAAGUUAUCUGUAAAAUCCCUGGGCUUAACCUGGGCAGGUCAGAUAAGACUGUAUGACUCGAGUAUAGGAGAGGGUAGUGGAAUUUCCGGUGUAGCGGUGAAAUGCGUAGAGAUCGGAAGGAACACCAGUGGCGAAGGCGGCUACCUGGCCUGAUACUGACACUGAGGCACGAAAGCGUGGGGAGCAAACAGG